GAGAGAGACAUGCGCGCAUAUCAAUAAGCGGAGGAAAAGAAACUAACAAGGAUUCCCUUAGUAACGGCGAGUGAAGCGGGAAGAGCUCAAAUUUGAAAUCUUCAAGGUUCUACCUUGACGAAUUGUAGUUUAAAGAAGUGUUUUCUGUUGGAGUUUUGGUAAAAGUUCUUUGGAAUAGGACAUCAUAGAGGGUGAGAAUCCCGUAUUUGACCAUUAUCUUCCAGCUUUGUGAUACACUUUCAAAGAGUCGGAUUGUUGGGAAUGCAGUCCAAAAUGGGUGGUAAAUUUCAUCUAAAGCUAAAUAUUGGCGAGAGACCGAUAGGCGAACAAGUACCGUGAGGGAAAGGAUGAAAAGAACUUUGAAAAGAGAGUUAAACAGUACGUGAAAUUGUCAAAAGGGAAGCGUUUGACACCAGUGUUGUUUUCUCGAAAAUCAAUUAAAAAUGAGUGGAUUUUGUGUUGUAUUGACUUUAUCAGCUUUCUGCACUCUUUUCCUUAUCUUUUUUAAUGCACUUUUCGUUUAACAAGUCAACAUCAAUUUCUUUUGUUGUAAAAGGGUCAUUGGAAGGUGGCUUUCUUUUCGGAGAAAGUGUUUAUAGCCUUUGGCCUCUGCAAUCGGAGAGAUUGAGGUCUGCAGCGUAGAUCCUUCGGGGUUAGAUACAUUUGUGCUAAGUUAUAGCCUUUCAUAGACAACUUGUUGACUAUGAUCAGUCAUGUAGCUUACUCGCUUAUGCUAUUUUACCUACGCUUAGGAUGUUGACAGCAGUAUAGACUGU
This 776-nucleotide ribosomal RNA is filed under the name uncultured Neocallimastigales. Its description in RNAcentral is "partial large subunit ribosomal RNA". It matches the Rfam family "Eukaryotic large subunit ribosomal RNA", at positions 23 to 633 of the family's 3401-position model. Lineage: Eukaryota; Fungi; Neocallimastigomycota; Neocallimastigomycetes; Neocallimastigales. The record is from RNAcentral.